GAUGAAGAACGUAGCGAAAUGCGAUAGGUAAUGUGAAUUGCAGAAUUCAGUGAAUCAUCGAGUCUUUGAACGCACAUUGCGCCCCCUGGUAUUCCGGGGGGCAUGCCUGUCCGAGCGUCAUUGCUGCCCUCAAGCACGGCUUGUGUGUUGGGCCCCGCCCCCCGGCUCCCGGGGGGCGGGCCCGAAAGGCAGCGGCGGCACCGCGUCCGGUCCUCGAGCGUAUGGGGCUUCGUCACCCGCUCCGUAGGCCCGGCCGGCGCCCGCCGGCGACCCCCCUCAAUCUUUUCAGGUUGACCUCGGAUCAGGUAGGGAUACCCGCUGAACUUAAGCAUAUCAAUAAGCGGAGGA
Molecule: unclassified non-coding RNA, 348 nt
Filed under: soil metagenome
Description: partial contains 5.8S ribosomal RNA, internal transcribed spacer 2, and large subunit ribosomal RNA
Rfam family: 5.8S ribosomal RNA (bases 1-120)
Source: RNAcentral